UUUAUUUUGAGAUAAUGAAAUGGGAUUGAUUAAAACACGUUAUCAAUGAGGCCAAGGGUUAAGACCGAAUUUUGAAAGCUUAAUUCUAAUUGAAUUUACAAAAUUCUACAGCCUGUCAGUUCAAAAAGAAAUUUCCCUAAAUAAGUAAAUUUUGGAAAUUUCAAAUUCAAUUUCACACCUUCAGAAUUAUAACUGAGUUUGGGUAGUUACACGUGUACCGCAUCUGAUAAGCCUAAAACUAAUAUGGAACAUACUUAAAUGACGAAAAAUUAACGGCGCACAUGUACGUAUACUUUUGCCCGCAACUGUGCAUGCACUUGUGCACAAAGGACAUGUCGGCUGUUUGGGUUCCGCACUUGUUGAAGGACUCACCUGCUGAUGUUACGCAGAUCAUCGUCGCCGUUGGAGCUCUCCUCAAACCAAAUCUCAAGGAGUUUCUCAACGCCCUCAAAGAAGUGCGAACCGUUCUCCAACAUGCUGCUGGCUGGCAAUAACAGAUGGAUCUGAUCUGAUACCAAAACAACGCCUGGUGAUGUAAAGUAAACGAUGGGUCUAUCGAUGCGAAGUGUUUGUUGUACUCUGUCGAUAGUUCGGGACUCUAACAGCAUGUUUCCACUUACACCAUCUCUCAUUCAACAGUCCGCGGAAACCAAAUUUUCC
Drosophila simulans is the source of this 660-nucleotide long non-coding RNA. RefSeq lists it as uncharacterized. The record is from RefSeq and is a predicted model, not a curated record. Lineage: Eukaryota; Metazoa; Arthropoda; Insecta; Diptera; Drosophilidae. The transcript is spliced from 3 exons.